AGGCUUCUGUAUCCGUGCUGAGAUUUCGUCAUACACCAGGGCUGAUGUGACUUCCAAGAUAAGUGAAGCG
RNAcentral lists this microRNA precursor (70 nucleotides) under Schistosoma margrebowiei. RNAcentral's name for it is "mir-3492 microRNA precursor family". It matches the Rfam family "mir-3492 microRNA precursor family". The record is from Rfam by way of RNAcentral. Lineage: Eukaryota; Metazoa; Platyhelminthes; Trematoda; Strigeidida; Schistosomatidae.